UACGUAGGUGGCAAGCGUUGUCCGGAUUUACUGGGCGUAAAGGGCGCGUAGGCGGCGCGGGCAGUCAACGGUGAAAGCUCGGAGCUCAACUCCGAGUCGGCCGUCGAUACUCCCGUGCUUGAGCACUGUAGAGGCAGGUGGAAUUCCGGGUGUAGCGGUGGAAUGCGUAGAGAUCCGGAAGAACACCGGUGGCGAAGGCGGCCUGCUGGGCAGUAGCUGACGCUGAUGCGCGACAGCGUGGGGAGCAAACAGG
RNAcentral lists this ribosomal RNA (253 nucleotides) under uncultured bacterium. Its description in RNAcentral is "partial 16S ribosomal RNA". It matches the Rfam family "Bacterial small subunit ribosomal RNA", at positions 524 to 776 of the family's 1533-position model. The record is from RNAcentral.